UGUGAAAUGUGAAUGUUGGCCUU
Molecule: non-coding RNA, 23 nt
Filed under: Rattus norvegicus (Norway rat)
Lineage: Eukaryota; Metazoa; Chordata; Mammalia; Rodentia; Muridae
Source: RNAcentral